This 433-nucleotide unclassified non-coding RNA is filed under the name Hevea brasiliensis (rubber tree). The record is from RNAcentral. Lineage: Eukaryota; Viridiplantae; Streptophyta; Magnoliopsida; Malpighiales; Euphorbiaceae.
GCGCGCUUAUAGCCUCUACCCUUUGAGGAAUUAUUAGAUGCACUCGGUGCACAUACACCUUCUCUCACAAUCAUGUGGGAUCCAUUUCCUAUAUAAUAGGAAGCUUUCUGUGAGGGAGGGAGCACUAUUUUUUAGUGCACCGGGUGCACCUAAUAAUUAGCCCUACCCUUUUUAGCCCUCCUUUCUGUAACUGCACUCCCUUAACUAAUUUUAUUUUACAACAAUAAAGCUGGCCACAUUGCAGCUCACUCUGUCUUUAUGAAAAAGGAUAUCCACUCUAAAGUCUAAAGACCAAUUCUAAAGACUGAAGCACUCCUUGGCAGCAAUUAAUGAAUUCAGCAGCAGAAAUUGAUAAUAUUUUACUAAUAGCCAAUGCCAACAUAAUUGGAGCACUCCACAGUUGGAAGAAUAAAGAAUGAAAUCACAAAUAAUU